RNAcentral lists this ribosomal RNA (433 nucleotides) under uncultured bacterium. RNAcentral's name for it is "partial 16S ribosomal RNA". It matches the Rfam family "Bacterial small subunit ribosomal RNA", at positions 29 to 507 of the family's 1533-position model. The record is from RNAcentral.
AACGAACGCUGGCGGCAUGCCUAACACAUGCAAGUCGAACGAGACCUUCGGGUCUAGGGGCGCACGGGUGCGUAACGCGUGGGAACCUGCCCGUAGGUUCGGAAUAACUCCCCGAAAGGGGUGCUAAUACCGGAUAAUUUCUUCGGACCAAAGAUUUAUCGCCUUUGGAUGGGCCCGCGUUGGAUUAGCUAGUUGGUAGGGUAAAAGCCUACCAAGGCGACGAUCCAUAGCUGGUCUGAGAGGAUGAUCAGCCACACUGGGACUGAGACCCGGCCCAGACUCCUGCGGGAGGCAGCAGUGGGGAAUAUUGGAGAAUGGGCGAAAGCCUGAUACAGCAAUGGCGCGUGAGUGAUGAUGGCCUUAGGGUUGUAAAGCUCUUUUACCCGGGAUGAUAAUGACAGUACCGGGAGAAUAAGCUCCGGCUAACUCCGUG